RNAcentral lists this ribosomal RNA (253 nucleotides) under uncultured bacterium. RNAcentral's name for it is "partial 16S ribosomal RNA". It matches the Rfam family "Bacterial small subunit ribosomal RNA", at positions 524 to 776 of the family's 1533-position model. The record is from RNAcentral.
UACGUAGGGGGCAAGCGUUGUCCGGAUUUAUUGGGCGUAAAGAGCGUGUAGGCGGCCAGGCAGGUCCGUUGUGAAAACUCGAGGCUCAACCUCGAGACGUCGAUGGAAACCGUCUGGCUAGAGUCCGGAAGAGGAGAGCGGAAUUCCUGGUGUAGCGGUGAAAUGCGCAGAUAUCAGGAAGAACACCUAUGGCGAAGGCAGCUCUCUGGGACGGUACUGACUCUGAGACGCGAAAGCGUGGGGAGCGAACAGG